GAUGAACGCUAGCGGCAGGCCUAAUACAUGCAAGUCGAACGAUACCGGAGAGCUUGCUUUCCGGGAAAGUGGCGCACGGGUGCGUAACGCGUAUGCAACCUACCUUAAUCAGGGGGAUAGCCUCUCGAAAGAGAGAUUAACACCGCAUAAAAUCACAGUCCGGCAUCGGAUAAUGAUCAAAUAUUUAUAGGAUUAAGAUGGGCAUGCGUGACAUUAGUUUGUUGGUGAGGUAACGGCUCACCAAGACUACGAUGUCUAGGGGAUCUGAGAGGAUGACCCCCCACACUGGAACUGAGACACGGUCCAGACUCCUACGGGAGGCAGCAGUGAGGAAUAUUGGACAAUGGUCGGAAGACUGAUCCAGCCAUGCCGCGUGAAGGUUACUGUCCUAUGGAUAUUAAAACUUCUUUUUUACGGGAGCAAUAAGGUGCACGCGUGCAUCGAUGAGAGUACCGUACGAAUAAGCAUCGGCUAACUCCGUG
Molecule: ribosomal RNA, 482 nt
Filed under: uncultured bacterium
Lineage: Bacteria
Description: bacterial SSU rRNA
Rfam family: Bacterial small subunit ribosomal RNA
Source: RNAcentral